RNAcentral lists this long non-coding RNA (268 nucleotides) under Elaeis guineensis (African oil palm). RNAcentral describes it as "long non-coding RNA (EGUI_LNC050074)". The record is from RNAcentral. Lineage: Eukaryota; Viridiplantae; Streptophyta; Magnoliopsida; Arecales; Arecaceae.
UAGAGAGUCAAAAGUUUCUAGUUAAAUUUUGUAAUCAGACUUAACCAAUUUGUUUAGGAGUUUUAUUUUUAAAAUAAAUUAGGCUCUCACUAUUUUCUCAGAUCCCUACACUCCCUUGGUAGAGAUGUGAAAAUCUCCGUGAUCAAUGAUUUUUAGUGGGUGGUGCGGUCUCACCGACUGGCUCACCACCUCACCUAACAGUUAUUGAUGAUGGGUCAACCGAUGAGUGGACAACUCUUAUCCAAUGAUUCUCUAAUCAUGGUGCACC